This 1281-nucleotide ribosomal RNA is filed under the name uncultured bacterium. RNAcentral describes it as "bacterial SSU rRNA". It matches the Rfam family "Bacterial small subunit ribosomal RNA", at positions 97 to 1400 of the family's 1533-position model. The record is from RNAcentral.
GGCGGACGGGUGAGUAACGCGUGGGUAACCUGCCCUAUACAGGGGGGAUAACAACCAGAAAUGGUUGCUAAUACCGCAUAAGCCCACGGCCCGGCAUCGGGCUGCGGGAAAAGGAUUUAUUCGCUUCAGGAUGGACUCGCGUCCAAUUAGCUAGUUGGUGAGGUAACGGCCCACCAAGGCGACGAUUGGUAGCCGGACUGAGAGGUUGAACGGCCACAUUGGGACUGAGACACGGCCCAGACUCCUACGGGAGGCAGCAGUGGGGGAUAUUGCACAAUGGGGGAAACCCUGAUGCAGCGACGCCGCGUGGAGGAAGAUGGUUUUCGGAUUGUAAACUCCUGUCGUUAGGGACGAUAAUGACGGUACCUAACAAGAAAGCACCGGCUAACUACGUGCCAGCAGCCGCGGUAAAACGUAGGGUGCAAGCGUUGUCCGGAAUUACUGGGUGUAAAGGGAGCGCAGGCGGACCGGCAAGUUGGAAGUGAAAACCAUGGGCUCAACCCAUGAAUUGCUUUCAAAACUGCUGGCCUUGAGUAGUGCAGAGGUAGGUGGAAUUCCCGGUGUAGCGGUGGAAUGCGUAGAUAUCGGGAGGAACACCAGUGGCGAAGGCGACCUACUGGGCACCAACUGACGCUGAGGCUCGAAAGCAUGGGUAGCAAACAGGAUUAGAUACCCUGGUAGUCCAUGCCGUAAACGAUGAUUACUAGGUGUUGGAGGAUUGACCCCUUCAGUGCCGCAGUUAACACAAUAAGUAAUCCACCUGGGGAGUACGACCGCAAGGUUGAAACUCAAAGGAAUUGACGGGGGCCCGCACAAGCAGUGGAGUAUGUGGUUUAAUUCGAAGCAACGCGAAGAACCUUACCAGGUCUUGACAUCCGAUGCAUAGUGCAGAGAUGCAUGAAGUCCUUCGGGACAUCGAGACAGGUGGUGCAUGGUUGUCGUCAGCUCGUGUCGUGAGAUGUUGGGUUAAGUCCCGCAACGAGCGCAACCCUUAUUGCCAGUUUCUACGCAAGAGGACUCUGGCGAGACUGCCGUUGACAAAACGGAGGAAGGUGGGGAUGACGUCAAAUCAUCAUGCCCUUUAUGACCUGGGCUACACACGUACUACAAUGGCGUUUAACAAAGAGAAGCAAGACCGCGAGGUGGAGCAAAACUCAGAAACAACGUCUCAGUUCAGAUUGCAGGCUGCAACUCGCCUGCAUGAAGUCGGAAUUGCUAGUAAUCGCGGAUCAGCAUGCCGCGGUGAAUACGUUCCCGGGCCUUGCACACACCGCCCGUCAA